RNAcentral lists this ribosomal RNA (663 nucleotides) under uncultured bacterium. RNAcentral describes it as "bacterial SSU rRNA". It matches the Rfam family "Bacterial small subunit ribosomal RNA", at positions 9 to 683 of the family's 1533-position model. The record is from RNAcentral.
GAGUUUGAUCCUGGCUCAGGAUGAACGCUGGCGGCGUGCUUAACACAUGCAAGUCGAACGGACUCAUAUUGAAACCUAGCGAUUUAUGAGUUAGUGGCGGACGGGUGAGUAACGCGUGGAUAACCUGCCGUAUACCGGGGGAUAACACUUAGAAAUAGGUGCUAAUACCGCAUAAGCGCACGGCUCCGCAUGGGGCAGUGUGAAAAACUCCGGUGGUAUACGAUGGAUCCGCGUCUGAUUAGCUAGUUGGCGGGGUAACGGCCCACCAAGGCAGCGAUCAGUAGCCGGCCUGAGAGGGUGGACGGCCACAUUGGGACUGAGACACGGCCCAAACUCCUACGGGAGGCAGCAGUGGGGAAUAUUGCACAAUGGGGGAAACCCUGAUGCAGCGACGCCGCGUGAGUGAAGAAGUAUCUCGGUACGUAAAGCUCUAUCAGCAGGGAAGAAAAUGACGGUACCUGACCAAGAAGCCCCGGCUAACUACGUGCCAGCAGCCGCGGUAAUACGUAGGGGGCAAGCGUUAUCCGGAUUUACUGGGUGUAAAGGGAGCGUAGACGGCAGCACAAGUCUGGAGUGAAAUCCCGGGGCUUAACCCCGGAACUGCUUUGGAAACUGUGCGGCUGGAGUGCAGGAGGGGUAAGCGGAAUUCCUAGUGUAGCGGUG